Molecule: ribosomal RNA, 800 nt
Filed under: uncultured bacterium
Lineage: Bacteria
Description: bacterial SSU rRNA
Rfam family: Bacterial small subunit ribosomal RNA
Source: RNAcentral
ACGGGUGAGUAAUGCAUCGGAACGUACCCAGUAGUGGGGGAUAACUUACCGAAAGGUAAGCUAAUACCGCAUACGCACUGAGGUGGAAAGCAGGGGACCGCAAGGCCUUGCGCUAUUGGAGCGGCCGAUGUCGGAUUAGCUAGUUGGUGGGGUAAAGGCCUACCAAGGCGACGAUCCGUAGCGGGUCUGAGAGGAUGAUCCGCCACACUGGAACUGAGACACGGUCCAGACUCCUACGGGAGGCAGCAGUGGGGAAUUUUGGACAAUGGGCGCAAGCCUGAUCCAGCCAUGCCGCGUGAGUGAAGAAGGCCUUCGGGUUGUAAAGCUCUUUCGGCCGGGAAGAAAUCGUGGUGGCUAAUACCUGCCAUGGAUGACGGUACCGGACUAAGAAGCACCGGCUAACUACGUGCCAGCAGCCGCGGUAAUACGUAGGGUGCGAGCGUUAAUCGGAAUUACUGGGCGUAAAGCGUGCGCAGGCGGUUGUGUAAGACAGGCGUGAAAUCCCCGGGCUCAACCUGGGAACUGCGCUUGUGACUGCACGGCUAGAGUACGGCAGAGGGGGGUGGAAUUCCACGUGUAGCAGUGAAAUGCGUAGAGAUGUGGAGGAACACCGAUGGCGAAGGCAGCCCCCUGGGUCGAUACUGACGCUCAUGCACGAAAGCGUGGGGAGCAAACAGGAUUAGAUACCCUGGUAGUCCACGCCCUAAACGAUGUCGACUAGUUGUUGGAGGGGUAAAACCCUUUAGUAACGUAGCUAACGCGUGAAGUCGACCGCCUGGGGAGUACGGCCGCAAGGUUAA